GUGGCCUGUCAGACUCCUCCCCCUCCCAGCUCUGCUCCAGACUCUCAGCUGUGACUCAUCACCUCAUCCACGCACCUGCUACUUAAGGAGACUCACCUCAAGCAUUCUUCGCCAGAUCGUUAAACCUGAUGGUCUGCCUUUCCCACGAGAGUCUCCCGAGUCCUCAGCCGACGCGAGCAGAAGCUGAAUCCCUCACGCUCCUCAAGAACUCCAGCCACGCCACCGUCAAGAACUCCAGCCACGCCUCCGCCAAGAACUCCAGCCACGUUGCAGUCAAAAGACUCCAUUCACGCCACUGCUGUGAGCUCCGGUCACGCCGCUGUAAGAUCUCCGUGCUCACCUUGGUCUACGAGCCGCUGUCAAGCUGCACGCCGCUCUCCCCUACUGGAUCCGCUAGCCCCUUCAAAAUAAAACUAGUUACUUACCUUUUCA
Long non-coding RNA from Oryzias latipes (Japanese medaka), 432 nucleotides. RefSeq lists it as uncharacterized. NCBI's taxonomy places the organism in Eukaryota, Metazoa, Chordata, Actinopteri, Beloniformes, Adrianichthyidae. The record is from RefSeq and is a predicted model, not a curated record.